Long non-coding RNA from Cygnus olor (mute swan), 492 nucleotides. RefSeq lists it as uncharacterized. Lineage: Eukaryota; Metazoa; Chordata; Aves; Anseriformes; Anatidae. The record is from RefSeq and is a predicted model, not a curated record. The transcript has 3 exons.
CCUUCAUCAGGAUAUUUGGAAAGGAGGAAGCAAAGAUACCAAUAAUGAUUAUUCAUUCAUCUCCAGUGAAGACUCUAGUUGUGGUUACAGAUCAUGGAGAGAGUAGGAAAAGUUGUAGUCAAAACAGUAGCAAAACCAAUCCUGUUAGAUCAUAGGAGUUGCAUCUGAAGUCCAAUCACAGACAAAGUGCAUCAUAUUUGCAGAGACGUAUCUUUCAAGACUGUAUUAAUUGCUCAGCUUUCCUCAGGAUAUUUGCAAAGGAGUACAAGGAAAAUUUAUAUUAUGUUUAAGGUUCCUCGUUCUUCCAUUAUACAAGUUGACUGGAGCAGCUAUACAUUUACCUACGAGUUCUAUAAAGACAACGAAAGGUUUGCUGUGGUAACUAAACUUGUGCUGCUGAGGAAGCUCUCUUCAUUCUUACGUAAGCCAACAUAUUCUCCCUACUCCCUCCACCCCCUCAAAGAGCAAUGCUUGGUGGGGGGCUGCUGCUGG